Molecule: ribosomal RNA, 253 nt
Filed under: uncultured bacterium
Lineage: Bacteria
Also listed under: 1 other name
Description: partial 16S ribosomal RNA
Rfam family: Bacterial small subunit ribosomal RNA
Source: RNAcentral
UACGGAGGGAGCUAGCGUUGUUCGGAAUUACUGGGCGUAAAGCGCGCGUAGGCGGUUAUUCAAGUCAGAGGUGAAAGCCCGGGGCUCAACCCCGGAACUGCCUUUGAAACUAGAUGACUAGAAUCUUGGAGAGGUCAGUGGAAUUCCGAGUGUAGAGGUGAAAUUCGUAGAUAUUCGGAAGAACACCAGUGGCGAAGGCGACUGACUGGACAAGUAUUGACGCUGAGGUGCGAAAGCGUGGGGAGCAAACAGG